Molecule: long non-coding RNA, 3999 nt
Organism: Scophthalmus maximus (turbot)
Lineage: Eukaryota; Metazoa; Chordata; Actinopteri; Pleuronectiformes; Scophthalmidae
Exons: 2
Source: RefSeq, a predicted model, not a curated record
GAUAUAUUAUGAUUGACAGCUGAAUCUGGAAGAGACGAUGCGGGACAACGAGUGUUUUUGCACAUGAACGUCAACGUGUGUCCUGACACGAUAACGUUCAAUUGCAAACAACCGUUCAUGGAUUUUGAGAGGCGUGCAGUCACCGAAGCUAGCGGAGCUUUGCUAACGUCCUAGAGUGCCCUCUAGUGGACCAAUCUGAAAACAACACUUUGGUGGCUGAAUGAAAUCCUCCUGCUGACUGCAAAGUUGUGAUUUACCACGCCCAGAGUGUGUUUGGGAUGUAUUUAAAGCGUGAGUGUCUGAUUUUUAAUUUACCUCUGUGGAGCAGGUUCUCGGGAUGUCUGAAAUGUGUAUGUUUAAAAUGAAAGACUUAAAGACAUCCCCCUCUCCAUUAGAGCCGCUACAUCUGCAAAGUCUUUUAAGUCCACCUCUUCUCCCUGGCAUUUGAGAUCAUCUAAAUAUGCGCUUUAUUAUUAUUGCACAAUCAUGUUUUUAUGUUUCUUCCGACAACUGAGUUUGUAUAUGUUGUCUUAUUUUAAUUAUUUGUAACGCAAAUGUGCAGAAUGAGGAUUUCAUUCAAGCCACCAAAGUGUUGUUUUCAGCUUUGUCCACUAGAGGGUAGUCUAGGACCUUUUUAGAAAACCACUCAAAACUUUUCAGCAGACCAAACCUAUUGUUAAUAAUCUCACGAGGGAAAAUCAGCUUUUACAGGAUCACAGAAUUAUUGCAGCAUUCAGGAAAAAUAGGAAAUCUGCUAAACUACCUAGUCAAACCAUUAUCAAACCCAACACAGAGAGGUUGCACAGUCACUACAGCAAUAAUUUGUUCAAAACAAGAUACCAUGGGAAUAUCAAUCAUAACUGUCAGGGGAACUGGUAACACCAUUAGAGUGAGGUUUACUCAACACAGACAUAUCUCCAAUAAGAAAGAGAAUCAUACUCCAUUGGUACAACAUUUUUUUAAUACAUGGAUGGAAUUCUAUUAGAAUUAGCGUAGUACAAAGUGAACCAAAAAUGCGAAUAUAACUCAAAGACAGAAAGCCGAGAGAAUCUGGAUAUCCAAACUGAACACGACACAUCCCAGGGGACUCUGAGAGGUGGUGAGGGGUCCACAGUGAGGGGCAGUCGAUGGACAGUGCACCAAGUCUACCAGCAAUGGUAUUCUGGACCAAUGUGAAGAAGGGACUUGUGUGCUCUCCCUGCCUCAGACUUUCAAUGUUAUCACGUGGAGGGUGGGGAGAUGUGCUCUCCCUUCCUUAAUGUCUUCCACGUUGGCACUUGGAAGGGCAGGGUGGUCCCAGAGCAGAGGCAUAGUGCCAAAUAUAACUAGUUGCUAUUAUUGAAAUAAAUUUAUUUUGACUAUAGUGCUCCUAACUAAAAAUGUAGUUAAUGGUUAUACACGAUUGCAACCAUUUCGGAUCUUUGGCCUAGGUUUGGAGAUUUCUGUCUCUGUUAUUUCUACCUCCACAACCAGCUGAAAUAAACAUAAGUGAGUGGACAGAGGCUACGAGGAGGCAGGAGUAAGGCUCUCUAGAGAGAGAGAGACACAGAGAGAGAGAGAGAGAGAGACUGACUGUGUCUAUUCCACAUAAAUGUGUUGAAGAGGUCAGAAGGAUAACAAGCGAUACAGACAUGGUGAGUACGUCUUCCAAUUUCCACAGAUUAAAGACCCUAAUGGCAAUUACUUUUAACUUCUGUCACUAGCAAAUUUCUUAAAAAACAUAACAUUGCCAAUCAUUGUGGAUGUCGAUGCUUCAAACCUGGUGGCUAUGGUUCAGGAGGCACAUGCCAAAGUGUCCUUGGGAUAGAAUCUCAACCUCAAAUAGCUCCUGGCGGCUGUACUGGCAGCAUGUGAAUGAGAUGCAUGACUGAUAGACAAAGAUAUUGAUAUAGAAUCACUGUAUGAAUGUGUUUGUGAACGGGUGAGUGGCAACCGAGUUGUAAAGUGCUUAGAGUACUUGAAAUUGACUAGAAAACCACCAAAUAAGCACAAUACAUUGACUAUUCAGUGCUUUGUGUCUGUAUUAUGGUGCAACCAUAUUGUUGCUCUUUGCUACUGUUUUAUACGCGGAGUGCAAAUAUGAAAUGCAAGCAUAUUCUUCUCCCAAAGUGCAAAAAUUAUGGAGAAACUUGUUUUGCAUUAAUGGGGUUAAGGUUACUUUUCAAUCUGCACCUCUAGCCAGCAAUGCACAAGGAUGACACGGUUUCCACAUAUUUGUUUGUUACAAACUCUGAAAUAUUAAUUGUAUUAAGAUUCUAUGUUAAUAUUCUACAUUAAUCGAUGAAGAAAUUAAAAUUGUGUAACAUUGAAGUUUCAAGUAAUGAAAUAUGAUACAAGUACUUUGUGAUGCAGGUGGGACAUCUGAGUGGGUCAUUUUAUUCAGAUUGCAUUGCAGCCAUUGUCUCACAAUAUGUGGCACAUUUUUACAUUUUAUGAUUCAAGAAAACAUUCCUAUCCCGAACAGGAUUACACCUAAUAAGAAAAGAUGCUUUCAGUUUAUUCUGAGGAAACAUUUAACCAUCAGUUACUCACAGGAAGUUACAACAAAAUAGAUAAUAAUUUUAAAUAAAACAAAACAAACAGGACUGGAAUGUUGAAAUAACAUGCAAGUUACAUGACUUCUGACUGGACAGCUGUGAGAGAAGAAAUACGUAUAUAUACAUACUCAGACAAUCAUGCGAGGGUUAUAGAUCAGAUUUAGAUUGUGUUAAGAGAAUUAAACAGCUAGUCUGUUCUGUCCUUCACUUUACAUAUUGCUGCUGCAAUGAAUUGUGGGACAGCAUCUUCUCCUUUCCUUUCAUAAAGGAGGGUCCAGUGUUUUCUAUGCUAAGGUGAUAAGAUAGGAAGCAGUGAAGCUCCUUUCCUUAUCAUUUAGAAAAUUCUAGCAGCUCUUAUCAUGGCUUCCGCUGAAAUACUUCAGGUCCAUUUCACUCAGUUACUAACCUUCCUAAGCAAAACAGACAAUUUGACUGCAGUAAACUUCAUGUUUAUUACACACAACCCAGGCCAGCACUGAGAAAGCUGUUGUAUUUAAAAGUAAUUUAUUACAUAACACACACCAUGUCUCUGUAAUCACAGCUACAGAUUGAUGACGUAGAAUAAAACCAGCUAUGGCAAGGGCAGCUUUGGAUGGACUUCGACGUAAGUGAACUUUGGCCAACAUCGUGUUGUAUCAUAUUUGUUUUACUGUCUUGUAUGGUGGAUAUUGUAAUUCAUUUAAAUAGCUGUCACUUCAGUUCAGUUCUUUAGUCCACAUAAAAAGAACAAACCAUAGUAAGGCCUAUAAAAGAGAGUACUUAUACAUUUUUAAAUCAAUAUUCAAGGCAAAUGUUCAAUCUGCCAACUGAAGUAGAAAUCGAAGGCUACAACUUUGUAUGGCGGUGGCUCAGUGGACAAGAACACUAACCUUGGAACAGGAGGUGGAGUGUUCAACAAUCACCUCGGGCAGAUCCAGGCACAUCCAUUGUCUGUUGUCACAGCUACAGAUCGAUGAAACAAAACAAGCGGAACAUGUGGAACUUUGGAAGGACUUCCACUCAAGUCAACCUUGACCAAUGUGGUGUUGUACCUUUGUCUUGAUUGUAAUUCAUUUAAAUAGCUGUCUCUUCACUUUAGUUCAGUUCUUUAAUCCACAUAAAAACAACAAUUUUGUACCAACAUCAUUCAACAGAGGUAGAAAGUGAAGACGACGAAGAGACUUGCUAUGGCUGGUGUGGCACAAUGGACAAGAACACUGACUUUGGAACAGUAGUUCAAGACUGAGAGCUGAGGAAAGACUAUAACAUGAACAAAUGAGAUUCUGAAAUUGAAACACAAACCUGGAAUACCUUCAAGUGAACGAGUUUCUGGACAAUGGGCAAAUCCCUCAAUGGAUAGAGGAGUGUCAGCCAUAGAAGUAAUCUUUUAUAUGUCAAGUAUUUCUUGAGCUGCAUCAACAACACUUCAAAGUUAAAUUACAUUAUGUUUUUUGGAAUAAAUUAUUGUUAUUUUUCCCCUUGA